GACGCGUCGCUACCAGCAAGCGAUUGCGUGGUGAAGGAACGUCUUCCUCCACUGCACCAGAACCAGCACCAGCACCAACACUUCCACCUCCACCACAACAGCAAUUAGUCCGACCUCGGAAAGCACCUGCUGUGAACCCAUCCACACCUGGCCGUCAUCCAUUGUGGACAUUCCCUAAUGCAGACAAUGAAAGUAGAUUCCAAGUCAUGAGAUGGAAGCAAGUGAUGGCGGGCCAUUGCAUAGACUUUACAUCCCUAGAGAGAGU
Molecule: long non-coding RNA, 265 nt
Filed under: Ricinus communis (castor bean)
Lineage: Eukaryota; Viridiplantae; Streptophyta; Magnoliopsida; Malpighiales; Euphorbiaceae
Description: long non-coding RNA (RCOM_LNC001519)
Source: RNAcentral